UUUACACACCGCCCGUCGCUACUACCGAUUGAAUGGCUCAGUGAGGCUUUCGGACUGGCCCAGAGAGGUGGGCAACUACCACUCAGGGCCGGAAAGUUAUCCAAACUCGGUCAUUUAGAGGAAGUAAAAGUCGUAACAAGGUCUCCGUUGGUGAACCAGCGGAGGGAUCAUUA
This 173-nucleotide ribosomal RNA is filed under the name Colletotrichum salicis. RNAcentral's name for it is "partial 18S ribosomal RNA". It matches the Rfam family "Eukaryotic small subunit ribosomal RNA", at positions 1661 to 1831 of the family's 1831-position model. The record is from RNAcentral. Lineage: Eukaryota; Fungi; Ascomycota; Sordariomycetes; Glomerellales; Glomerellaceae.